CGGACGGUAUUGCGGGGCAAACCGUACCAACAAAACGUACUGAAAACAGUAUACCAAUUUAACGAAACCCCAUAGCACUGCUUGGAGCCAAUGCGGCCCGGGACAGGAGG
This is a regulatory RNA element of Dethiobacter alkaliphilus AHT 1, 110 nucleotides long. It matches the Rfam family "pan motif". Lineage: Bacteria; Bacillati; Bacillota; Dethiobacteria; Dethiobacterales; Dethiobacteraceae. The record is from Rfam.